UACGGAAGGCAGCAGUGGGGAAUAUUGCACAAUGGGCGCAAGCCUGAUGCAGCCAUGCCGCGUGUAUGAAGAAGGCCUUCGGGUUGUAAAGUACUUUCAGCGGGGAGGAAGGCGGUGGAGUUAAUAGCUUCACCGAUUGACGUUACCCGCAGAAGAAGCACCGGCUAACUCCGUGCCAGCAGCCGCGGUAAUACGGAGGGUGCAAGCGUUAAUCGGAAUUACUGGGCGUAAAGCGCACGCAGGCGGUCUGUCAAGUCGGAUGUGAAAUCCCCGGGCUUAACCUGGGAACUGCAUUCGAAACUGGCAGGCUAGAGUCUUGUAGAGGGGGUAGAAUUCCAGGUGUAGCGGUGAAAUGCGUAGAGAUCUGGAGGAAUACCGGUGGCGAAGGCGGCCCCUGGGACAAGACUGACGCUCAGGGUGCGAAAGCGUGGGGAGCAAACGAGGAUUAGGAUACC
This 455-nucleotide ribosomal RNA is filed under the name uncultured bacterium. RNAcentral describes it as "bacterial SSU rRNA". It matches the Rfam family "Bacterial small subunit ribosomal RNA", at positions 340 to 786 of the family's 1533-position model. The record is from RNAcentral.